Molecule: ribosomal RNA, 653 nt
Filed under: uncultured Gammaproteobacteria bacterium
Lineage: Bacteria; Pseudomonadati; Pseudomonadota; Gammaproteobacteria
Description: bacterial SSU rRNA
Rfam family: Bacterial small subunit ribosomal RNA
Source: RNAcentral
AGAGUUGUAUCCUGGCUCAGAUUGAACGCUGGCGGCAUGCCUAACACAUGCAAGUCGAACGGCAGCACGGGGGCAACCCUGGUGGCGAGUGGCGGACGGGUGAGGAAUGCAUAGGAAUCUGCCCAGUUGUGGGGGAUAACGUAGGGAAACUUACGCUAAUACCGCAUACGACCUUCGGGUGAAAGAGGGGGACCUUCGGGCCUCUCGCGAUUGGAUGAGCCUAUGCCGGAUUAGCUAGUUGGCGGGGUAAGAGCCCACCAAGGCGACGAUCCGUAGCUGGUCUGAGAGGAUGAUCAGCCACACUGGAACUGAGACACGGUCCAGACUCCUACGGGAGGCAGCAGUGGGGAAUAUUGGACAAUGGGCGCAAGCCUGAUCCAGCAAUGCCGCGUGUGUGAAGAAGGCCUUCGGGUUGUAAAGCACUUUUGUUUGGGAAGAAAUCCGGUUGGUUAAUACCUGAUCGGGAUGACGGUACCAAAAGAAUAAGCACCGGCUAACUUCGUGCCAGCAGCCGCGGUAAUACGAAGGGUGCAAGCGUUAAUCGGAAUUACUGGGCGUAAAGCGUGCGUAGGUGGUUUGUUAAGUCAGAUGUGAAAGCCCUGGGCUCAACCUGGGAACUGCAUUUGAUACUGGCAGGCUAGAGUGCGGUAGAG